Molecule: unclassified non-coding RNA, 283 nt
Filed under: Hevea brasiliensis (rubber tree)
Lineage: Eukaryota; Viridiplantae; Streptophyta; Magnoliopsida; Malpighiales; Euphorbiaceae
Source: RNAcentral
UUUGGGUUGGGUGUGGUGGUUUAUGUUUGUAAUUUUAGUAUUUUGGGAGGUUGAGGUGGGUGGAUUAUUUGAGGUUAGGAGUUUGAGAUUAGUUUGGUUAAUAUGGUGAAAUUUUAUUUUUAUUAAAAAUAUAAAAAUUAGUUGGGUGUGGUGGUAUAUGUUUGUAAUUUUAGUUAUUUGGGAGGUUGAGGUAGGAGAAUUGUUUGAAUUUGGGAGGUAGAGGUUGUAGUGAGUUGAGAUUAUGUUAUUGUAUUUUAGUUUGGGUGAUAGAGUGAGAUUUUGU